This is a non-coding RNA of Mycena crocata, 100 nucleotides long. NCBI's taxonomy places the organism in Eukaryota, Fungi, Basidiomycota, Agaricomycetes, Agaricales, Mycenaceae. The record is from the annotation of a GenBank genome assembly.
GACCUGAUGGUGCAGUGGUUAGUACGCUUACUUCAAGUGUUUAGAUUUUCCAGCGAGAUAAUUUCAGCAAGAAACCCCCGUUCGACUCGGGGUCGGGCCA